AUUACCUUAUAUUUUUAGAUUAUAGAUUAUAAGGAUUAACUUUAUGGCUAGUAUAUAAAGAGACUAUUAUAGAAUAAUAAAAGGCUGUAUAUUAAACCAUUAGUACCGUAAAAAUGAUGGACUAGUUUCAUUUAUUAGGGAAAAGGGUAGAAGAAUUUCUAUAAAAAAAAACGAAGUGAAUUGAAGUAUCUUAUUAGCUUCAGGAAAAUAAAUCAAACGAGAUUCUAUUAGUAGUGUGAAUGAAAAUAGAUAUAGGCUUAAAGUAAAAUGGAUUAAUCUGUUUGAAUAUAGGGGAACCUUCCUCUAAGCCUUAAUAUAAUAUACAAGAAAUAGAGAAUAGUACUGUGAAGGAAGUAUGUAAAAUAGUAGUCUUAUAAGCAGCUCAAGGUAAGUUUAAUAAACAUAUGAGAGCGUACCUUUUGUAUAAUGGGUCAGCAAGUUCUAGUUAGAUGCAAGCAAGUAGUGAUUAGUGGUGAUAGAUUAAAUUUAAGAAAUUAAAUUGAAGAAACAUAAUUUUAAUACACAAAAAAGAAUCAAUUUGCCUAGAUAAUCCAAUUAUUAAGUAAUGAAUUAGUAUCUAAUUAGAGACCCGAAGAGUAGUGAUCUUACCAUGGUCAGGCUUAUAAAAGGCCGAAUGGGUUAUCGUUGUAAAGAUAUCCAAAGAACUGUGGUAAGUUAGUGAAAGACAAUCCUGACUACUAUAGCUGGUUUUCCGCGAAACAUAUGUAAGUAUGUAGUUUAAAUAACAUCAUAGCAGGUACAGAACUGUGAUCUCGGACAAUUUGUGCAUUAAUAUCCUAUUAGGGUAUAUAAUGCCUUGUGCAUAUGGGGGGGUCGUGAAGACUCUAUUCGCGAGUAUUUGCUCUCGGAAGGGCAAUGAUGAGUGUUGAACUAUCAGACAUUUAACGAUAAGGUUGUGUGUCAAAAGGGAAACAGCCCAGAACAAGUGUUUAAGGUUCCAAAGUUUUUGUUAAGUGAAAGUAAGGAAGUAUUUAAACUAUACAACCAGGAAAUAGGCUUAGAAGCGGCCAUUUUUUAAAGACCUCGUAACAGAGCACUGGUUCAAAUGGUUAAUUCGUUAACCUAAUUAGUUAAAAGCGCCGAAGAUAUAACGGAUCUAAAACAAAACACCGACACCUUGUCCAUAAUAAUUAUAUUAGGUAUAAUCCUAGUUUACUAUACUUAAAGGUUAUUUAAGUAUUAUUUAUGGGGUAGCGGAACAUUGGGUAAAUAGGUUUUAAAUAGAUAGUACUCCUUCGGUUCUAAAUAGAUAGAACUUACCUCUUUCCCAAGUGAGAGAAGGUUGGUCUUUUAUUAAUUUAUAAUAACUGACUAUACAGGAUAAUUUAUAGUUACGUCUAUUUCAUAAUUACAUUUGUAAUUUGCUCGCUAUAUAGCGGGUUACCGUACAUAUCCCAAGUGAGAAUGCUGACACGAGUAACGAAAAAGAGAACUUAGUAUUACACUACUAUGUAAAAUGUUCUCUCGCCUUAAGCUUAUGGGAAAGUUAAUCGGUCUCUAAAUUAAACCUAAAGGAUAAAAUGAUGAGGAGAUUAUAUGUGACAACAUAAAGAAAUGGAGUAAAAUGUUCUGGAAAAGCAUAUAAUAUACAAGAAAGGAGCAAUGAGGAAAUGGAGAAAUUGUUCUAGGUUAUAAACUAAAAAGAAGAUACUACUUCCUUGUAUAUACUAAAACCGUACCUAAAAACUACCACAAGUAAGCUAGUAGAGAAUACGAAGGCGUUUGAGCUAACAAUCAUUAAGGAACUCGGCAAAUUGACACCGUAACUGAGGGAGAAGGUGUGCCAUUCCUACUGAUUAAUAUCAGUUUAGGAAGAGGAGACAUAAAAUGGUGUUGCACGACUGUUUAAUUAAAACACAGCACUUUGCGUAAGAUGUAAAUCAAUGUAUAGAGUGCGCUAUCUGCCCAAUGAUGGCUGGUUAACGGAUUUACUUAGACGACUAAAAUAGGCUAGGUUUUGAAGGAACCCCCAUUUAAUGGCGGCCUUACCUAUGAGGGUCCUAAGGUAGCGAAAUACCUUGGCAUUUAAAUGAUGUCGCGCAUGAAUGAUCUCACGAUGCAACAGCUGUCUCAAUGAUUGGCUCAGUGAAACUGGAAUGGCAGUGAAGAUACUGCCUAUCUCUAGAUAGACGAGAAGACCCCAUGCAGCUUUACUGUUACUAGUUAUAGGGUAUAAUUUAACAGGUUUUAGGGAAUAAGGUAGUUGAGCGACAAAAUUGAAACACCUUUACUCUGGUUGUUAUAUCAGUAGAAUAGGUUACAUUAUUGUAACUGACGUCUGAAUGUAAUCCAUAAAAGGAGGGAGAUUAUAUCAAGCUCAGGAGACAAUGGCUAGCAGAUGGUUUAUGCGGGGCACAGAUCCCAUAAAGAGUACCUGGGAGUAUCCAAAUUUAUUUUUGUAAUAUGCUAUACGCAAAUUAUAUAGGGCUUUUAUUAAAUAAUUGCCUUGUAUAUUUUAAUUUUUUAAUUACUAUAUUUACUUUGUUAUUUUUUAUAUUUACAAUUUUUUUUUAAAAAUGGUAUCUAUAACUAAUUCAGUUAUAUUUCUAUUUAAGUUAGAACUAAAACAAUUUAAUAUAAGUAAGAUUUUACCUAUGUGGAAAAUAGGUGUAUAUAUAGUAUUAAUAAUUACUAUCUAAUUGUAAAAGAAGAUAUAAUUAUAACACUAUUAGUUAUUUUUUUUUACAGAAUAUCUGUAUAAGAAAUGAUGUUGAUAUAUACUUCCAAAGUUUAAUGGCUUAAUCUUGCUUUACUGUUUGACAUACACGUCUAUCAGUUGCGUAAGCAGGGCAUAAAGACCGCAAGACGCAGUAAGGAAAGGUCUUGUAUUAUUGAAAAAGCUACGCUGGGGAUAACAGGCUAAUUGCGCCAGAGAGUACAAAUUGAGUGCGCAGUUUGGCACCUCGAUGUCGGCUUAGCUCAUCCACAUGAAUGCAGGAAUCAUGAAGGGUACGACUGUUCGUCGAUUAAAGAGCUACACGAGCUGGGUUAAAUACGUCGUGAGACAGUAUGGUUUCUAUCUUCUAGAGGAAAUUGGAGUAAAAUAAGGAUAGCCCCUUCGUACGAAAGGAGUUGGGUAUGGUAACCUAUGGUUUACCUGUUGUUUAUGCGCUUAAUAUUAACCUGAUAAAUUACGGCAAGAAUAGGUUCUCCUUAAUAAUGAAGACGGGAAUCUCCUAAGAAGGAGAGUAAUAUAGAUAGAUUCAUGUGAAUUUAUUACCUAUUUGAGCUAUAGAUGGUAAUACUUUUAUACUCAAGUAUUUAUACAUAGUAUAGGCAUGGCAGGAAAGCUAUGUUAGUUAAGAUAAGUGCUGAAUGCAUCUAGGCACGAAGCUUACCUUAGGAUACUCUUAGAAACGUAGUAUAACAUUACGAAAACCCAUUUUCUGGGGUUAUAGGCUUUGGCUGAAAGGGCUUUGAUGUUCUUAGGUAUAAAGUACUAAUUUUUAUCAUUAA
This 3477-nucleotide ribosomal RNA is filed under the name Alternaria alternata. RNAcentral's name for it is "large subunit ribosomal RNA". It matches the Rfam family "Bacterial large subunit ribosomal RNA". The record is from RNAcentral. Lineage: Eukaryota; Fungi; Ascomycota; Dothideomycetes; Pleosporales; Pleosporaceae. RNAcentral also lists the same sequence under 2 other names.